UGAGAAGGUGGGUUUAGUACCGCAACGGGCGCAACCCUUGAUCUUAGUUGCCAGCAUUCAGUUGGGCACUUUAAGGUGACUGCCGGUGACAAACCGGAGGAAGGUGGGGAUGACGUCAAAUCAUCAUGCCCCUUAUGACGUGGGCUACACACGUGCUACAAUGGACAGAACAAAGGGGUGCAAGACCGCAAGGUUUAGCCAAUCCCAUAAAUCUGUUUUCAGUUCGGAUCGCAGUUUGCAACUUGAAUGCGUGAAGCUGGAAUCGCUAGUAAUCGCGGAUCAGCAUGCCGCGGUGAAUACGUUCCCGGGCCUUGUACACACCGCCCGUCACACCACGAGAGUUUGCAACACCCGAAGUCGGUGAGGUAACCUUUAUGGAGCCAGCCGCCGAAGGUGGGGCAGAUGAUUGGGGGAAGUCGAACCAAGGGAUUGGGCUG
RNAcentral lists this ribosomal RNA (437 nucleotides) under Bacillus pumilus. RNAcentral describes it as "bacterial SSU rRNA". It matches the Rfam family "Bacterial small subunit ribosomal RNA", at positions 1068 to 1506 of the family's 1533-position model. Lineage: Bacteria; Bacillati; Bacillota; Bacilli; Caryophanales; Bacillaceae. The record is from RNAcentral.